GAUGAACGCUGGCGGCGUGCCUAACACAUGCAAGUCGAACGGAGAUUUAACGCUGAUGAGGCUUCGGCGGAUUCUUGUUAAAUCUUAGUGGCGGACGGGUGAGUAACGCGUGGGCAACCUGCCUCAUACUGGGGGAUAACAGCUGGAAACGACUGUUAAUACCGCAUAAGCGCACAGCAUCGCAUGAUACAGUGUGAAAAACUCCGGUGGUAUGAGAUGGGCCCGCGUCAGAUUAGCCAGUUGGCAGGGUAACGGCCUACCAAAGCAACGAUCUGUAGCCGGCCUGAGAGGGCGGACGGCCACAUUGGGACUGAGACACGGCCCAAACUCCUACGGGAGGCAGCAGUGGGGGAUAUUGCACAAUGGAGGAAACUCUGAUGCAGCGACGCCGCGUGAGUGAAGAAGUAUUUCGGUAUGUAAAGCUCUAUCAGCAGGGAAGAAAGGCUCGUAAGAGAGAUGACGUAC
This 465-nucleotide ribosomal RNA is filed under the name bacterium V9B2004. Its description in RNAcentral is "bacterial SSU rRNA". It matches the Rfam family "Bacterial small subunit ribosomal RNA", at positions 28 to 478 of the family's 1533-position model. The record is from RNAcentral.